Molecule: long non-coding RNA, 1073 nt
Organism: Drosophila teissieri
Lineage: Eukaryota; Metazoa; Arthropoda; Insecta; Diptera; Drosophilidae
Exons: 3
Source: RefSeq, a predicted model, not a curated record
UUAAGUGGGUUGGUGGUAAUGUUUUAAGGCUUUGCACUAAAUUGAACAAUAAAUUUAAUUUCAAUCAAGAUGCAUAAAUUAUGAACUAAUGAUAAAGAGCCAUAAAAAGAGGCUUUACAAUGCACCAUAAACUAUUUAUUGGUUUUGGUAGAAACUCAUUACAUUAUUUAUUAAUGGUUAGGCGCGUAUUUCACAUCACAUUUACAUUUCACAUUUAUUCACAUUCACACACAUUCACACAUUAUUCACAUUUCACAUUUAUCAGUUGUCAAAAAGCGAACGCCACAGUCAAGCAAUCAAGGAUAAAGCUGGAAGACUGGGAAGAACCACCACCGGCUCAGAUCUAUUGUGUACCCACUCCCCGCAGUUCCAUGUUUGUCAUUCGCACUUCCAUGUGGACCUGCCCGGCGAUAUGAUCUGAAAUGGACUUGUGUACAUACACGAGUACGCCGUGCUCGGCACUUGUUUGGCUAUUGUUUGACUUUGUACCCGCCUGGCCCGUUGGGGGGCUGGAUUCCCACUCCGAGCCGGUGGUCGAGCCCUCUUCCCACUCUCACACAGAAACGCUUGUUGACACCAACUGCUUAUCGCUCGGGUUUGGUGCUCCGCCGCGGUGAGCGGAGCCCAGAAACGGAAUACAUAAAUUAUGUUUCCCCGCUUUCCGGAUUCAUCUGGUUAUCAGUUCUAAUUAGUCGGCGACACUUUUCAGAGUCGGCAGGUUCAACAUUAUUUUAUAUACGCCUGUUUAUGGCUGUGUACCUUUGUUAGGCACUGUUUGCUGAUAGGCCACCAUCGAUACACGGCCCAUAAACUGUUAUGUUACCCGAAAUCGCAGAUAAGAUAUGGAAAGCACUUUGGUGGGCUGAUCGAACAAUAUUUGCCUAGCCACUUGCUCGAACACUCGACUAAAUCGGCAAAACGAAAGCCCUCGAAGAAUUAAAAGGGAUAAUUUACGAUAGCUUCUAUUACAAGGAACAGUUUGCGAUAACGGCGAUUACCAAUAACCAAAUGCGAUAACUGUGAUGACUGCGAUGAAUGAUAUUUGAUGAGUUGUUUGACAUUGCAUACUCGUC